RNAcentral lists this ribosomal RNA (279 nucleotides) under Triticum aestivum (bread wheat). RNAcentral's name for it is "partial small subunit ribosomal RNA". The record is from RNAcentral. Lineage: Eukaryota; Viridiplantae; Streptophyta; Magnoliopsida; Poales; Poaceae.
GGUUGCAAUCGCCUUGUCAUUAAUUCUGACAAUAUGGAAGUCAUUGAUACCAUGAAGAAUGGAGGACGUUCAGCAGGAGCGGCGGUGGCAGUGUUUGAUGAUUGUUAUUUUUUAGCGUGUGAUUUUCCUCUUACUAAUUUUGAGCAUUGUAAUAGGGAAGCGAAUAAAGUAGCCCAUGAACUUGCCAGAUUAGCUAAAUUUUCAAGGGAAUGGUUCGAGGAGCCUUUGAUCGAAAUUGUACAACCUCUAAUAGACGAUGUAACCGUUAUUUCUAAUUAA